CCUACGGGUGACAGCAGUGGGGAAUAUUGGGCAAUGGGCGCAAGCCUGACCCAGCAACGCCGCGUGAAGGAAGAAGGCUUUCGGGUUGUAAACUUCUUUUCUCAGGGACGAAGAAAGUGACGGUACCUGAGGAAUAAGCCACGGCUAACUACGUCCCAGCAUCCGCGGUAAUACGUAGGUGGCAAGCGUUAUCCGGAUGUACUGGGUGUAAGGGGCGUGUAGGCGGGGAAGCAAGUCAGAUGUGAAAACCACGGGCUCAACCGGUGACCUGCAUUUGAAACUGUUUUUCGUGAGUACUGGAGAGGCAGACGGAAUGCCUAGUGUAGCGGUGAAAUGCGUAGAUAUUAGGAGGAACACCAGUGGCGAAGGCAGUCUGCUGGACAGCAACUGACGCUGAGGCGCGAAAGCGUGGGGAGCAAACAGGAUUAGAUACCCUAGUAGUC
Molecule: ribosomal RNA, 443 nt
Filed under: uncultured bacterium
Lineage: Bacteria
Description: partial 16S ribosomal RNA
Rfam family: Bacterial small subunit ribosomal RNA
Source: RNAcentral